GCCCGCGUGGCUCAGUGGUUGAGCAUCGACCUGUGAACCGGAAGGUCAGGGUUCGAUUCCCGGUCAGGGCA
RNAcentral lists this transfer RNA (71 nucleotides) under Myotis lucifugus (little brown bat). It matches the Rfam family "tRNA". From Rfam's summary of the family: Transfer RNA (tRNA) molecules are approximately 80 nucleotides in length. Their secondary structure includes four short double-helical elements and three loops (D, anti-codon, and T loops). Lineage: Eukaryota; Metazoa; Chordata; Mammalia; Chiroptera; Vespertilionidae. The record is from Rfam by way of RNAcentral.